AGUGAACGCUGGCGGUAGGCCUAACACAUGCAAGUCGAACGGCAGCACAGUAAGAGCUUGCUCUUACGGGUGGCGAGUGGCGGACGGGUGAGGAAUACAUCGGAAUCUACUUUUUCGUGGGGGAUAACGUAGGGAAACUUACGCUAAUACCGCAUACGACCUACGGGUGAAAGCAGGGGAUCUUCGGACCUUGCGCGAUUGAAUGAGCCGAUGUCGGAUUAGCUAGUUGGCGGGGUAAAGGCCCACCAAGGCGACGAUCCGUAGCUGGUCUGAGAGGAUGAUCAGCCACACUGGAACUGAGCAACGGUCCAGACUCCUACGGGAGGCAGCAGUGGGGAAUAUUGGACAAUGGGCGCAAGCCUGAUCCAGCCAUACCGCGUGGGUGAAGAAGGCCUUCGGGUUGUAAAGCCCUUUUGUUGGGAAAGAAAAGCAGCAGGUUAAUACCCCGCUGUUCUGACGGUACCCAAAGAAUAAGCACCGGCUAACUUCGUG
RNAcentral lists this ribosomal RNA (492 nucleotides) under uncultured bacterium. RNAcentral describes it as "partial 16S ribosomal RNA". It matches the Rfam family "Bacterial small subunit ribosomal RNA", at positions 29 to 507 of the family's 1533-position model. The record is from RNAcentral.